CCGGAAAACGCUGGACGGCGUGCCUGGUAAUGCUCGUCGGGCGGAUCGAUGGGAGCUUGCUCCCUGAGAUCAGCGGCGGACGGGUGAGUAACACGUGGGUAACCUGCCUGUAAGACUGGGAUAACUCCGGGAAACCGGGGCUAAUACCGGAUAACACCUACCCCCGCAUGGGGGAAGGUUGAAAGGUGGCUUCGGCUAUCACUUACAGAUGGACCCGCGGCGCAUUAGCUAGUUGGUGAGGUAAUGGCUCACCAAGGCGACGAUGCGUAGCCGACCUGAGAGGGUGAUCGGCCACACUGGGACUGAGACACGGCCCAGACUCCUACGGGAGGCAGCAGUAGGGAAUCUUCCGCAAUGGACGAAAGUCUGACGGAGCAACGCCGCGUGAGUGAAGAAGGUUUUCGGAUCGUAAAACUCUGUUGUUAGGGAAGAACAAGUGCCGUUCGAAUAGGGCGGCGCCUUGACGGUACCUAACCAGAAAGCCACGGCUAACUACGUGCCAGCAGCCGCGGUAAUACGUAGGUGGCAAGCGUUGUCCGGAAUUAUUGGGCGUAAAGCGCGCGCAGGUGGUUUCUUAAGUCUGAUGUGAAAGCCCACGGCUCAACCGUGAGGGUCAUUGCAAACUGGGGAACUUGAGUGCAGAAGAGGAAAGUGGAAUUCCAAGUGUAGCGGUGAAUGCGUAGAUAUUUGGAGGAACACCAGUGGCGAAGGCGACUUUCUGGUCUGUAACUGACACUGAGGCCGCGAAAGCGUGGGGAGCAAACAGGAUUAGAUACCUGGUAGUCCACGCCGUAACGAUGAGUGCUAUGGUAGAGGGUUUCCGCCAUUUAUGCUGCAGCUAACGCAUAAGCACUCCGCCUGGGGGAUACGUCGCAGACUGAUCA
RNAcentral lists this ribosomal RNA (884 nucleotides) under Rossellomorea aquimaris. RNAcentral's name for it is "bacterial SSU rRNA". It matches the Rfam family "Bacterial small subunit ribosomal RNA", at positions 25 to 897 of the family's 1533-position model. The record is from RNAcentral. Lineage: Bacteria; Bacillati; Bacillota; Bacilli; Caryophanales; Bacillaceae.